UGGUAUUGUAUUGGACUACCAUGGCACUAACGGGUAACGAACAAUUUGGGUUCAAUUUCGGAGAGGGACCCUGAAAGAUGGCUACCACAUCCAAGGAACGCAGCAGGCGCGUAAAUUACCCAAUCCUGACAUAAGGAGGUAGUGACAAUAAAUCACAAUGCGAAACUAUUAAUUUUGCAAUUGGAUUGAUAACAAUGUACAAAUGUUAUCGAUAAACAAUUGGAGAGCAAGUCUGGUGCCACCAGCCGCGGUAAUUCCACCUCCAAUAUCGUAUAUUAACGUUGUUGCAUAAAAAAAGCUCCAGUAA
This 307-nucleotide ribosomal RNA is filed under the name Blastocystis sp. subtype 4. RNAcentral's name for it is "SSU rRNA". It matches the Rfam family "Eukaryotic small subunit ribosomal RNA", at positions 326 to 633 of the family's 1831-position model. Lineage: Eukaryota; Bigyra; Opalinata; Blastocystidae. The record is from RNAcentral.